Microplitis demolitor is the source of this 1297-nucleotide long non-coding RNA. RefSeq lists it as uncharacterized. The record is from RefSeq and is a predicted model, not a curated record. The transcript is spliced from 2 exons. NCBI's taxonomy places the organism in Eukaryota, Metazoa, Arthropoda, Insecta, Hymenoptera, Braconidae.
ACAACAUAAUCGAUAAACCAAAUCAAAAUUGAAAAUCCGAUGGUAAUUAUGAUAAUUGCUAUAUUAAUAAACGGAUUAAAAAUUGACAUAAUUAUUUUUACAUAAGCAUUGACAAAUUAGUACAGCAACUAUUACAUUUUUUAAUUAUUUCAAAAUGAUUUUAUGUCUAUAAUGACAUUUGAAUAGAAGUUUAAAAUAAUCUGUACUGUGUACACAGAUACUUCUGUACACUCAAAAAUUGUUUUAAUUACCGAAUAAGCAUUUUUGAGUAUACAAGAUUGUAUUUGUCAUGAACUAUCUUUAUCAGAUAUAAUUUUAUAAAAACAUCAUUUAUAGUGAUGCCAUAACCUACAUUAAUCACACCUUAAGAUUAUUAUUAUCCAAAUAAUCAAGGUGCUCAAACAAAAAUUUGCUAUUAUUUUACCGUAAAAUGUCUGUCGUAAAUUGGAGGUAAACGAAUUCAAGUUUGAGCUGUCGAGCUGACUAUCCUUGAAUUUGAUAGCAAAUAAACGUCAACUUUGUUCAGUUUUCUAACUACAACAUGAGCAUAACACACGGUGUAAAUUAACAGAAAGUUAACUGAAAAUUUUGAUCUUCAACUCUUGCUAGCAAUUUGCUGCCCAAUUUUAACCGCAUUUUGGUCAAGUUAAAUCUUUAAAUUGACAUUAAUAUGCAAUAAACAUGGUUACCAGGUUUUUGCUAACAAUCCUUAUUUAGCCUCUCAUUAUUAACUAUUUCAAUUUAUUUUAGGACGAGACUAUUCGCACCCAGGCGUGUAUGCAGCGUAUAAAAUUUUGGGAAGUUAUUGUUUUCACCCCGAUUCGCGAAAAUUGGAAUUCCAACAGAUGUCGACAUUUUGAGGUUCUAGGAAACUAUUCUAACUAGAUUCAAGAUGAUGUCCGAGUGUAUCUCUAGAACUCAAUAAAACGCGUCGAUUGCCACCUCAACCGUCUCAACCGGUGAAUUCGUUCGAGAGAUAUCGUUGUAGAAAAAAUGGUAAACGUUAUUUUUCGAAAUCAAAGGCAUACAAAAGUAUUUUCGAGCUCGAAGAGCUCAAAAAUGUAUUCUCAACAAUGAUUUCGAACUCAAGGAGCUCGAAAGCAGCGGGAAGUUUUGGGGCUGACUCGCAGGAUCAACUGACAACAAUUUUUGUUAUUUAUUACAGUGCUUCCGUCUAAACUUAUCUAUGUGGUCUCAUGAUAUUUAUCGAUGUUCAAGUCAAAUUAGAAUAUAUUUUGAUUUCACAAUACUGUGAAUUGUGAUACUUGAGUAAUAAAUAAAUAUCCAUAAAAAUCAA